Molecule: ribosomal RNA, 468 nt
Filed under: uncultured bacterium
Lineage: Bacteria
Description: partial 16S ribosomal RNA
Rfam family: Bacterial small subunit ribosomal RNA
Source: RNAcentral
GACGAACGCUGGCGGCGUGCUUAACACAUGCAAGUCGAACGGAAAGGCCCUGCUUUUGUGGGGUGCUCGAUUGGCGAACGGGUGAGUAACACGUGAGUAACCUGCCCUUGACUUUGGGAUAACUUCAGGAAACUGGGGCUAAUACCGGAUAGGAGCUCCUGCUGCAUGGUGGGGGAUGGAAAGUUUCGGCGGUUGGGGAUGGACUCGCGGCUUAUCAGCUUGUUUGUGGGGUAGUGGCUGUCCAAGGGUUUGACGGGUAGCCGGCCUGAGAGGGUGACCGGCCCCAUUGGGACUGAGGUACGGACCAGACUCCUACGGGAGGCAGCAGUGGGGAAUAUUGCAGAAUGGGCGGAAGCCUGAUGCAGCAACGCCGCGUGCGGGAUGCCGGCCUUCGGGUUGUAAACCGCUUUCGCCUUUGACGAAGCGUGAGUGACGGUAAUGGGUAAAGAAGCACCGGCUAACUACGUG